ACCAGCCAGGAGCGAGCACAGCUCGGCCUAGAGCUCACAUUGACCACCAUGGUGCCGGCGCCUGGCACACCGGACGGCUUCUUCCUCUGCGUCUACUGUGACCGCAAGUUCCGCAGUUCGCAGGCGCUCCGCGGCCACCAGAACACGCACAAGCAUGAGCGCGCCGCCAGGCGCAGGCAGGACCGCGCAGUCGCGGCGGUGAUGCAGGCACAGGACGUCUUAUGUUCGGUGUCUGCGGUGAGGAAAGCUGGGAAGGCUGUUGCUGAUUCUGUACGGAAGCAGGAAGACCCCUCAGGCGGCAAUGAAGGCGGGAGCUCUUCGGAGCGCGGCCACGAGGUGGACUUGUCUCUCCGGCUAUAA
RNAcentral lists this ribosomal RNA (360 nucleotides) under Triticum aestivum (bread wheat). RNAcentral describes it as "partial small subunit ribosomal RNA". Lineage: Eukaryota; Viridiplantae; Streptophyta; Magnoliopsida; Poales; Poaceae. The record is from RNAcentral.